AGUGAACGUUGGCGGCGUGGAUUAGGCAUGCAAGUCGAGCGAGAACCGUAGCAAUACGGGGACAGCGGCGAAAGGGACAGUAAUGUGUAGGUACCUACCCCGAGGUCUGGGAUAGCUGCGGGAAACUGCAGGUAAUACCGGAUAAUGUCUUCGGACCAAAGGUGUGAUUCCACCUUGGGAGGGGCCUGCAUCCUAUUAGCUAGUUGGCGGGGUAAUGGCCCACCAAGGCAACGAUGGGUAGCGGGUGUGAGAGCACGACCCGCGUCAUUGGGACUGAGACACUGCCCAGACACCUACGGGUGGCUGCAGUCGAGGAUCUUCGGCAAUGGGCGAAAGCCUGACCGAGCGACGCCGCGUGCGGGAUGAAGGCCUUCGGGUUGUAAACCGCUGUCGUAGAGGAGGAAAUGCAGGGGGGUUCUCCCUUCUGUUUGACCUAUUCUAGGAGGAAGUACGGGCUAAGUUCGUGCCAGCAGCCGCGGUAA
RNAcentral lists this ribosomal RNA (482 nucleotides) under uncultured bacterium. RNAcentral's name for it is "partial 16S ribosomal RNA". It matches the Rfam family "Bacterial small subunit ribosomal RNA", at positions 28 to 523 of the family's 1533-position model. The record is from RNAcentral.